Molecule: long non-coding RNA, 5041 nt
Filed under: Homo sapiens (human)
Lineage: Eukaryota; Metazoa; Chordata; Mammalia; Primates; Hominidae
Description: HSALNT0360390
Source: RNAcentral
UGUUACGUCAUAAAUGUUGCUAUAAGAAUGUUUGAAAAGUGUUGCAAUGUAGUGAUUAUAUAUAAUUUCUUGUACUGUUCUGUAGUUUCAGAAUAAGUCUAGUUUUUAGAGGUAAAUAUAGUUUAUUUGGUUGUGAUGCUUUUGGUUAAUGAUAUUUUUCUUAAAUACAUUUUUAAGUAAAAAGAUCCUAUCUUCAAAGCAGCAUUCCACCUUGAAAGAUCUGAAGAUCUCAGAAUCCUCUAGUCUAUAAAUUUCCUCUAAAGGGGCUGUCCUCUUGGGGGGUUAGCCCCACGUGGAGUAGGGAGAGAAGGGCAUCCACAUGGGGAAGGGGUGGUGGCAGAGAUGGGAGAAUGGUCACAUACACAGUGAUUUAUAAAAUCAGGAACUAUAUUAAGUAUAAUAGAAGCCAAGUCUUUUCAGAGAAACAAUACUUUUUGGUGAAUGAAUGUAUAUCUGUAUAUAUGAUGAGGAAUGAGAUAUUUACAUAGUUUCAAAGUACCUAUCUACUAAAAUAGGUAUUAAGUAUUGUACAAGGGGAAAAAGAGUAACAUUACAGUGAGGAAAGUGGUGUAAAGAAUUCUGUCUGUAAAAGUCAAUAUUUAACCCUCUGUAUUUCUUUCUCUUGAGAUUUUCUUUACCUAUUUCACAUUGACUCAUAAAUCACUUCACAUAAGAUGUUUUUAUCUUCCCUGAAGGUAGAAUCAGAAAUUGAAAUUCCCUCUUCGCCUUGUUUGAGUUGCAUCCUUAUUUAAAAUAUUGUAGGGUGAUCUGAGUCCUGAAAUAGCUUAUUGGAGACAUUGAAUGCAAUUCUGUAGUAUAAAUGUCUAUCCUACGUCUUCUUUUUGUAUGGGAUCUUUGAGAAGGGAACUUAUACUUUGUUUGAAUGAAGUCACCAGAACAGCAUUGUCCAUUAGAACUUUCUGCACAAAUGGAAAUGUGCCGUAUCUGUAUUGUCCAAGGGCACUAGCUACAUGUAGCUGUUGAGUGCUGGAAAUGUGGCUAGUGUGACUGAGGAACUGACUUAAUUUCAUUUUAAUUAAUUUAUAUUUACAUCAUUACACACAAUGGCCACUGUAUUGGCCAGCAGAGCACUAGUGUAUAGGAAGGGGAUAUUUUAAGAUUCACCUCAGGAGUCAGCUCUUCUGGGAAGCUUUUAGACUCUGGGUUAAGUGUCUUCUCUUUAUAUGCCCUGUGGUACCCUAUGCAUACUUGUAUCAUAAUGCUCUUCCCAGAGUUUUGCAAUCACGUGCAUUCUUGUCUUUGCAACUAAAUUAAAUGAGCUUCUUAAGGGUAAAGACUCUUGUAGUCUUUUAUGAUCACAGGGCCUGGCACUUGAUAGACAAUAAGUGUCUUUGAAUGAAUGAAAAAUGGCAUAGCAUAGCAAGAAAUGCCAUUUUAGUAUGGGGCUUUCUCAAAGCUUAAGAGCCUCAACUGGAAGUAGUAGUUACUUGGUUCAGAAAGUACCUGCCUUGUUGUCUCAGGAGGCUAUCCUUGUGCUUGGUUAGCAGGUUGUCUCAUAGAUUUUAUUUAAAGCCAAUACUCCCGGGAAGAGUCAUUCAUGCAGCAGACAUUCAUUGAGCUCUCCAUGAACCUGGUGCACUGUUCUGGGAACUGAAAAUAAAAGAGAAUAAUUAGCAAAGUUCUCUGGCCUUCAGGAGUUCAGUUUUGGUGGGGAAAUUGACGUGUGCCCCCAUCAUCAACAGUAGUUUUAAUAAUUAGGAAUAUUUUUAGUAUUUAGAAAUUGCAGAUAAAGCUGAAAACCUUUAAAGGUCAGUAAUUAUAACUAUACUUAAGUUUUCCUAAUUUUACGGAGUAUAGUUUAUCUCCUAUGGUAGUUCUUUGUUCUUCCUCUCAAAUUUCACAGAAUAAUGCCCAGCAUACAGGUUUUCAAAACUUAGUAUUUCUGUAAUAGUUCUUGUUUCAGCUCCCCCUCCCCCAGUUUUAACAUUUCUGAAAUCUUAGCAGUAUGUCUUAGAGUUGCUAAGGACGAGGGGCAGCCAGGCUGCAGCUGUGCUGUAGUUGACUGCUUGCCAUAUGCACAGUACCUUUGGGUAAAAUCCAGAAGACACCGGCAUCAGCAUGUGCAGAAAAGGGUGCUGGCAGCUUGGGAGGAAAUCUCAGGGACACCAUGAAACAUUCUUAAAUACUGCAUCACCAACACUCUUUUUGGCACAAAGAAUGGCUUGGAGUGAAAAAUAUGGACAUUGGUGGCUCCAAGUCAAAAAGUGAUUCAGAAGAUCUGGAAUCUGAAUGUGAAAUCUUAAAAACUAUAACCAGUUUAUCUUGUCUAUAUUUUUCUUUUUUAUAUAUGCUCAAGAAUAAUAUAUGAUAAAAAUGUUUAAAGUGUAAAUGGGCUCUUUUAUAAAACCUUUUCAUCAUGGAAAAGUGUAAACAUACCCUUUUAGUAGAUAGAAAUAAUACAUGGAACCUGCAUAUACCCAUCACCUAGAUGUCAUAAUUGUUAACACAUGGCUCAGCUUGUCUUGUUUCUUCUGUUUCACCACCCACUUCCUGCUUCAUAUUUUGAGGCAAAUCCUAGAUGUCUCCCAUUUCAUCUGUAAAUAUCUCAGUGUGUAUCUCUAAAAGAUCAUUUAAAAAUUUUAAAAAUAAGUAUAAAAGACUUAAGUGCACAGCCGAAAAAUUGGUGAAAAUAUUUGCAACAUGUAUUAGAGAUAAAACUUACAAGGAAUCUUAAAAACUGAGGGGAUUUUUCCUCACCUACUUUGCUCUCUUUUCCUUCCAUCAAUCUGAAAUGACUCAGACUCUAAUUUAUUAGGUGAGGCAAAGCAACAUAGGCAUCCAAGAGGAACCAGUGUAGCUUUGUGUGGGUGUCAGAGCCCACGCAGGACAAGGAGGCUGUCCUCUUGGGGGGUUAGCCCCACGCGGAGUAGGGAGAGAAGGGCAUCCACAUGGGGAGGGGUGGUGGCAGAGAUGGGAGAAUGGUCACAUACACACUGAUUGAUAAAAUCAAGAACUAUAUUAAGGAUAAUAGAAGCCAAAUCUUGUCAGAGAAACAAUACUUUUUGGUGAAUGGAUGUAUAUCUGUAUGUAUGAUGAGGAAUGAAAUAUUUACAUAGUUUCAAAGUACCUGUCUACUAAAAUAGGUAUUAAGUGUUGUACAAGGGGGAAAAGAAUAACAUUACAGUGAGGAAACCUGGCAGAUACCACUUUACUCAGGUGGUCAGAUGAUUAAAGUGAAUGUCAUUGGUAAUGAGGUAAAUUGAAAUCACCUGACAGGAUAGUGGAAGACGAAGACAGCAUCACUUCUGUGAAAUCCCUGCCCAAGAGUGAAGAUUAUGAAAGUCAAGGAAUAAUGAGGAACUGUUCCAGACUGAGGGAAAGAAAAUAUUUGACAAGCAGAUGGUAUUCGUGCUUCUGAACUGAAUUCUUUUGCUCUAAUAAAAGACAUUUUGGGCACAGUUUUCUGAUUCUGAUGAUUGUAUUGUGAUUAUGUAAGAGAAUGUAGGAAAAGUAUUCAGGGGUAGUGUGGGACAGGUCAGCAACUCACUCUGAAAUGGUUCAGGAAAAUCAGUUCUUUAUGCUGUAUUUUCAAUCCUUGUAUAAAUUCGUGUUUGUUUCAAAGAUUAAAAAAAGAGAGAAAAUGGAGGGGAAAAUACCUGGUAGGCAAAUGAACAAAAGACAUGAAUAGGCAAUUCAUUUAAAAAUUAAAAUAGGUCUUAAAAUAUUUAAAAAAAUUCAGCAUCACUGAUAAUUAGAGAAAUGCAAAUUAAAACUGCAAUGAAAUAUUCUCAUCUGUCAUGAGAAGGUUGUGGCUGAGUUAAGAGAUUGGCAAAUCCCCACCCACCCUGCCCAAAAGCAACUGUAAAUGCCAUUCUGUAAACAAAAGGAAUCAGGAACCCUUGGUGAUGUGACUGAUUUCAGAGCUGGGGCAGAUAAAGUACAAGCUGAGCUCAGAAAGUGAAGUUGUGCCAGAGGAUAAGGAAGUGGCUCAGAGAAUGAAUGGAACAUGUCAAAAGGACACAGAAAUUACCUUGAAGGAGCUGACCAAAAUGCAGACAAUUUAAACAACAAAAUAAGUAAUGAUAGUAAUGGAAUAUAACCCAUAGAAUAAAAAUGAGUCAUAAAUAAAUAAAUGGAGAAGGAAAAAUAUUUCCUUAGAGUAAAAUUCUAUUUAAUAUAUGUAGAUGGAUUGAUGGGGUUAGAAAAAUCACCAUUUGGCAGCCACUAGUAAUGGUUUCAGGCAGGAGUUUUCAGGGUUUGAUAAAACUAGUUGCAAAAUUAUGAUGGGAAACCUGGUAUUACUAUAGGUUCCAGGUAUCUCCCCACAAGAUACUUAACAGUGACAAAGGGAAAAAGUAAUUUUACAGCUACUGGCAAACAUGACCUUAAGCAACAGAUCAGGGUUAACACACCAGUGACAGGACAAGCCACCAUCGGGUGUGUACCUCCUAAUAGUGGUCCACUGAGAAGAACAGUGUCAUGUCUGUGGCUUCCUGUCAAAAGUGUAUAAACUGAAUCUCAGCACGAAUAACAGGCAAACCCAGACUGGGAGGUGUUCUACAAAAAUAACUGGCCUGCACUUCUUUAAACUCUGAAAAACGAAUGAAGAACUAUUCCACAGUUAAAGGCGACAUGACAGCUACAUACAUGGUAUGAUCCUGGAUUUAACUCUGGAUCAGAAAAUGGUUUUUGUGCUGUAAAGAAUACAGGUAGGGCAAUUAAUGAAAUCUGAAGAUGGUCUGUAGAUUAUAGUAUUGCAUCAGUGUUGAGUUUCCAGUUUUCAUAAUUGCACUGUGGUUAUGCAAGAGCACAUCCAUGUUUUAGGAAAUACACACUGAAGCGUUUAGUAAAGGUACAUCAUAUUUACAACUUAACCUUCAAGCAUUUCAGGAAUCUAUAUAUAUACAUAUACUCUGUCACACACAUAUAUAAACAUAAACAGAUAAUGAUAAAGCAAAUGUAAAAUAUCAACAGUUUAGAAAACAAGGUGUAGGUUAUGCAGAAAUUCUUUGUACUGUUUUUCUCAGUCUCUUAUUAAGUGUGAAAUUAUUUCAAAAUUAAACUAUUUUGUAAAACUUUU